RNAcentral lists this ribosomal RNA (431 nucleotides) under uncultured bacterium. Its description in RNAcentral is "partial 16S ribosomal RNA". It matches the Rfam family "Bacterial small subunit ribosomal RNA", at positions 28 to 507 of the family's 1533-position model. The record is from RNAcentral.
AACGAACGCUGGCGGCAGGCCUAACACAUGCAAGUCGAGCGCCCCGCGAGGGGUGCGGCGUGCGGGUGAGUAACGCGGGGGAACGAACCCCUUGCUACGGACUAGCCUGGGGGAACUGGGGGUAAUACCGUGGGUGUCCUUCGGCAGAAAGAUUUAUCGGCAAGGGAUCGGCCCGCGUUGGAUUAGGUUGUUGGUGGGGUAAUGGCCUACCAAGCCGACGAUCCGUAUCUGGUUUGAGAGGAUGGACCGCCACACUGGGACUGGGACACGGUCCAGACUCCUACGGGAGGGAGCAGUGGGGAAUCUUAGAAAAUGGGCGCUAGCCUGAUCUAGCCAUGACGGGUGAGCGAUGAAGGCCUUAGGGUUGUAAAGCUCUUUCAGGCGGGAAUAUAAUGACUGUACCCCCAGAAGAAGCCCCGGCUAACUCCGUG